GGGAAGGUAGCCCAGACAGCAUGUAUGUCAGCUUGCAAGCAUUUAGCCACAUCUUUGAUGCAACUUUUGCUGGAAGCUGAAGUAAGGCAACUCACCUUGGGAGCAUUGCAGCAGUUCAACUUGGAUGUCAGAGAAUGUGAACAGUUUGCCAGAUCCGGCCCGGUGCCUGGGUUCCAGGAGGACACGCUGCAGUUGGCCUUCAUCGACUUGAGACAAGUAAGUCUUUGUGUUUUUGUUUUUUGUUUUUCUUUUAAGAUGUGUGACUGAAGACCAUCAGGUCUUAAGGAAAAGGGGAGGGGAGGGGGAUUGGCAUUGGCGAUUCAAACUGGAGACCUAAGGGUUUUUCCCUGUGUUUGAGGCCACCUCUUUUAUUUAGCUAUCUGGGAUCCUUAGCUAUGGUGGAGUUAAAGGUUUUGUGGGCAGAAGGGAAGGCAGGAGGUGGGAGGAGGGACCCAGAAUGUAGAGGGACUCAAGUGACCCUCAAGUGAUGUGACCCAUUGUGCUAUAGUUGGCUUUCGCAGACACAGCAAAAAGAUAACUCGGCAAACCAAUGCUAAGCAGGUGCAUUGAUGCAGAGACUGCCUGCCUGGUAAACUUUUGUUAGCAGAUAAUGGGGGCAGUAGGAUUUAAGAAAAAUGAAACAUUUUACAGUCUGGAUUGUUGGUUUGAUUUGGUGACUUUUUCCUGUUGCUUUAAGUCUUCCCAUCCCCUCCUUUGUAGAAUGAGGUCAGCCAUGAGUAACUAAGUGGUCACUUUAGAUGACUAGCAAAGGCCCUGACCAGUCGUGCUAACUGAACAGGCGACCCUAUUAAAGUCAUGUGAUGAAAGGUAGUAUUAGAUCAACCUGAGUUCUGCAAGCCCAUCAGAUAGAAAGAGUUGUUCUAUAGGGCUGUUGAUUGCAAUUUGAAAAGGGUGGGUUGGUAGGCCUUGGUGGAUUGGGUAUAGAAGAGCAGUAUGGGGGGGGCUGAAAGAGGGAGAGAGUUAACUGGGCUCUGUCAUCUCUUCACUCUGAAGAUGGAUGGGGUUGGAUAGAAAGUGUGAAUGAAGUAAGAAUCAAUGACUGAUGUUCUCUCCUAUUAAAACAAUCUUUUUUUUUUUUUUUGUCUGUUUUUAAAAGGGGGCUGGCUUUGUUUCUGCUGCCAUAAUGAUGCAGUGCCUCUUGUUUUCAGAGCUGACAAAGUUUGCAUUCUGAAAACUUUUAGAUGCCCAGGGUAUUUCUUAAAGCUGUAGGACCCCUUGUAUUGGUAGUCUCCUUACCACUGUGACUCGAUUCAUGCUAGAACAGCUUUUAACCCAUAAUGGAUGGCCUGAGCUACCCCUGAAUCCUUGUGGAUGGGUGGUGUAAUCUGUCAUCUGAUGACAAUUCUGGAAAGCCCUGUUAAGCAGAAAACAGAAAAUUGUGUCUCUAUAGAUCCGCCAAAGUUUGAGGAUUCAGACCGUGUCCUGGAAACGUGUGUCAACUUAAUAUUUAGGGGUUGAGGUGGGGGGUUCUCUUACACAUAAAGGCUUUCCCAGCAUGGUCCCAAAUGGAGCUGAGUAUGUCCUUCCACACGUAAGGCCUUCUACCUGUGGAUUCAGCAACUCAACUGUGACUUUUAGGUUUUAGCCCCUUGGCUAAUGUAAGGCUGAGAGAUUGGGAUUUUGCUUAGGGUUUUAUGGAGUGGUAUCUGUCGGACUUUACCCUGGCUGUUUCUUCUCAGAGACUUCUGAGCCAAUUGGCUUUUCUUGGAAAGCAGAAAUUGAAUUUCAUUGGAGAAAAACAUCCAAGGAAAAAAUUUUCCCUUCUCACUCUUCAUGAAAGGGAAAUGUGGUCAUUCUCUCAAGUUUGUGGUUUUGGUCCCUAUGGAAAGCAACUGGUGUUCACAGAAAAUGUUAACUAAGGGAAUAAGUUAGAAAGCGCAGCCAAGAUAAGGUGGAUCUGAGCCGGGGAUGAAUGUUCAACUACUUGUGAGCUCUCAGUGAGCACUGUUUUUUAUGCUUAAGUUCCUAUUUUCUGUUAGGUUUCUGUUCUCAGAGCUCCUUUUAGGAAGUGUUAGCACUGAAAAUCAAAACUCCAAAAUUUCACUGAAUCAUGAAAGAGUAUGCUUCUUCCUAGUGAAUCUAUCACUUAAUUUCUCUUUAUAUCUGUCUUUCCUAAAGCAGCUUACCUUUUUCUUAGAUGAUGUGAAAAAUGUCUCUCGCUCAUGAUUAGCAAGCCUCAGGUAGGUUGAAUCAGUGCGAGAAAAAUUAUCUUUCCACAUCCCAUGCUGAAAAUAUUUCUCUCUCUGCUGUUCAUCCUAGUCAUUCUCAGAACUUAAAGUGAGCAUCAUUUUAAAGGGAUCAUAUGAUGAACUAUAUAAGAGAUGUUCAAACUGUAAAUAGAAAGCCUGGAACUAUGUUUUCAAAGGAGAUAUCUUGACCCUAAAUAAAACAUGAUUAGGUAUUCUUGAAUAUGUGUCCUUUUGCCUAUACUCUUUGGAAUCCUUAAAUAGAGUUAUGAAUGUGGAUGGGGGGCAGGGCGCUGCUGGGUGCUGAUCUUAAAUGUCAAAUAGUAUAACUAUAUGAUACUUGACUAUAAAUGAUACUUUAUACUUGAAUCCCUAUUCAGCACCCCCGACUGUGCUUGAACCUUCUCCUUGAAGUGAACUUGCUGUCCCAAAGCAGCAGGGUCCACUUUAGGACAAUCUGAUUAUAAUAUAGGUAUUUCUUAAGUUGGCUAAAAUCUCUCUCACUUAACCCUGACCCUUUCACUCUUCAUAUUUUUAUUAAUGCAUCAGUUUGUGGGACAGUUUUGCUAUCCUGAUUUACUGAGCUUCCUGUCUGCUAGUAAUCGGAUCUUUUUCAUAUAUAGCAUUGUUACCAAUUCCUUAUCUAGUCCGUAUAUGUGAUUUUAUAGACCAACAUUGAAAUCUUCGCUCCCUUUAGCCUCCUUUUUUUUAGACAUAUUAUUAACGACAUAGAUUUUUUUAAAUCAUUCUUAUUUAUUUAGCCUGUCUAAACCUUUUUAAGGUCCUGAUUCAGUUAUCCACCUUACUAUCUCCUUAACCAUUAUGCCCUCGAGAAGUCAAAAUAACCAUAUUGUAGCCGAAGUUAAACAAAGAAGUUAAAGUUGAGGCAAGUUAUAGGAUUCAUACAGGCACCCCAAACAAAAAGAGGAUUUGUCCUCAGUUCAGUGCAGCAAGGAUAUUCAUUUACUGUCGUUGAGUGUAUUUUCCUCACUGGUUUAUGAAUAUCUUUAUUCUGAUCAUGCUUACAUGUUCUUUUGCUUCAGAGUGUUUCAGACCCUAUCAAUUGAAUGGUAAUUUUUAAAAUAUUCAAAAUGUGGAAUAUUUGAUGAGAUCAUCUCUGUAUAGACCAUUAUAGCCGUGUCAUUUAAAAGCCAUAGAAUUUUAUUAGGAAGCAAAUUAGAUGUGGCUAGCAAAACUAUUCAUCCUUUCUCAGCUGUCCUGUCUAUUCCGAUUUUUCUACUUCUUAAGGAAAAAAGUGAAAUGGCAUUUUGAAUACACAGGCUUUCAUGAUAUUUUACAUUUCUAUAGCACUUAAAGUGUAUUUACAUACAUAUCCCAUUUGUCAGGUUUCUGGGUUUAGAAAACCAGCUGUUAAUGUGAAUUACUGCAAAUCAAAAUCUCUGUCUUUGCCAGCUUAUAAUUUCUGUAUUUCCAAGCUCAUAAAAGCAGAAUUGCAGUACAAUGCCCAUUCAUGUAUCAAAUAUAUAUGUGCAUAUUUUUAUCAAAAUCCUAAUUUCAGUUAAUGCUAAAUCUUGAGAAGGGAACUUAAGGCUCACUUAUUAACUUUCUUGAAGUGCCAUGUAUAUUCCAAGUACUAAUAGUUACUGGCCUGUAAUGGUUCAUAAUGAGAAUAACAAUAUAAGGCCAGUAUAACUCUCAGUAGUUAUUUGAUUCUUAAACAGUUACUGUGGUUUGUAUUUCCUUUUGUUGUGAAACACUAAUAAUGCCGGUGAACAGCAGAAUUUGAACUUCAUUUGACAUUCAUUUCAGUUUAUUAAACUCUGAGUGCCUACUAUGAACAGAGUAUAACUUAGGUGUUGUGAGAAUACACAAAUGAAUAUAAUACAGAUACUUGAUUCUAAUAGAAGGCACCCUGUGAUUCUAAUAUAAAGCACACUGUGAUUAAGAUAAUAUAAUAUAUAUUAUAAUAAUAAUAUAUUAAGAUAAUAUAAGGCACACUGUGAUUAAGAAUUUUUUUGGAAGAAUAAAACUAUUGUGUAUGUUUCAAUUAUUCAACAGCUUUUGCUACUUAAAUCACCCCAAAACAUAUUGUCUUAAAACGAGUACCUUUUUUUUGGCUAUACCUGGGCACAUGGAAGUUCCCAGGCCAGGGACUGAAUCUGAGCCGCAGCUGCAACAUACGCCACGGCUGCAGCAACACCAGAUCCUUAACCCACUGUGUUCUCUGAGGAAUUCCAAGAACCAUUUAUUUAGCUCAAGUUUCUACAGAUUGGUUAGCUUCAGCUGGGCUCACUCAUACUUUGAGAUCAACUGCUAGACUGGUUAGGGACCGCCUGAUCUAGGGUGCCUUAGCUAAGCUGACUCUUCUCUGCUUCUUGUGAUCUCUCAUGUACCAGCAGCCCAGGCCAGGCUUAUUCAUAUGGCAUCUUGGCAGGGUUCCAGGAGAGCAAGAGGAAAUGUGAAAACCUCUUGAGGACUACACUUGAAGCUAGCAAGCCCUCACUUCUUCCACAUUCUGUUGGCUAGAGCUAGUCACAGGAUCAGCCCAAAUUCAAGGAAUGGGGAAAUAGACUCCAGCUUAGGAGUUCCCGUCGUGGUGCAGUGGUUAACGAAUCCGACUAGGAACCAUGAGGUUGAGGGUUCUAUCCCUGGCCUUGCUCAGUGGGUUAACGAUCCGGCGUUGCCGUGAGCUGUGGUGUAGGUUGCAGACACGUCUCAGAUCCUGAGUUGCUGUGGCUCUGGUGUAGGCUGGCGGCUACAACUCUGAUUGGACUCCUAGCCUGGGAACCUCCAUAUGCUGCGGGAGCGGCCCAAGAAAUGGCAAAAAGACAAAAAAAAAA
RNAcentral lists this long non-coding RNA (5008 nucleotides) under Sus scrofa (pig). RNAcentral describes it as "lncRNA (ENSSSCG00050075221.1)". Lineage: Eukaryota; Metazoa; Chordata; Mammalia; Artiodactyla; Suidae. The record is from RNAcentral.